AUUGAACGCUGGCGGCAGGCCUAACACAUGCAAGUCGAGCGGAUGAGUGGAGCUUGCUCCAUGAUUCAGCGGCGGACGGGUGAGUAAUGCCUAGGAAUCUGCCUGGUAGUGGGGGACAACGUAUCGAAAGGAACGCUAAUACCGCAUACGUCCUACGGGAGAACGUGGGGGAUCUUCGGACCUCACGCUAUCAGAUGAGCCUAGGUCGGAUUAGCUAGUUGGUGAGGUAAAGGCUCACCAAGGCGACGAUCCGUAACUGGUCUGAGAGGAUGAUCAGUCACACUGGAACUGAGACACGGUCCAGACUCCUACGGGAGGCAGCAGUGGGGAAUAUUCGACAAUGGGCGAAAGCCUGAUGCAGCAAUGCCGCGUGUGUGAAGAAGGUCUUCGGAUUGUAAAGCUCUUUAAGUUGGGAGGAAGAGCAGUAAGUUAAUACCUGGCUGUUUUGACGUUACCAACAGAAUAAGCAACGGCUAACUACGUG
This 484-nucleotide ribosomal RNA is filed under the name uncultured bacterium. RNAcentral describes it as "partial 16S ribosomal RNA". It matches the Rfam family "Bacterial small subunit ribosomal RNA", at positions 30 to 507 of the family's 1533-position model. The record is from RNAcentral.